GUGUACUCACGGGAGGACUCGCAGACGUUACUGCCCUCUUGCGUGCCCCGGCCACCCCCGGGCGGCUUGUAGCCGGUGCGCGGGGUGGCUGGGGCUACGUGCAGAGCUGUCGCGGAGCCGGAGCAGCAGCGGUGAAGGCCCUCGGCUCGGCCGAGACCGCCGUGCCCACUGCUCGCCUCGGUUGCCGCCGCUUUAGCCGCAGCCGCUGCUGCCGCCGCCGGGGGAGAGGCAGCCUAUUGUCUUUCUCCGCGGCGAAGGUGAGGAGCUGUCUCGGCUCGGCCCGCGGGGGAGCCCCGGGAGCCGCACGGUGGCAUUUUUCAACUCCGCUGGAGCCAGUGCCCAGGAGGAACAAAGGGUGUGCUGCCAGCCCCUGGCUCACCCAGUGGCCUCGUCCCAGAAGAAGCCAGAGGAAAGUACAUCAGCCAGGGGGCAGUGUCAGAGACGCAGCACUGGGAGAGGAGGACAUCGUCAGGCUGGCCCAGGACCAGGAGGAGAUGAAGGUGAACCUGCAGGAGCUGCGGGGCAGGUGUUGCAGCUUGUGGGCGACCACAAGGAGGGGCAUGGCAAAUUUUGACCAUUGCCCAGAACCCUGCUGAUGAGCCCACUCUAGGAGCCCCAGUAGCCCAGGAGCUUGGGUGUGCUGACGAGCAGGGUGAUCACCACUGGAUUGCUGACAGAUAGAGGAGGUGGGACCCUGACUAUCACCCCUAAUCUGCAGUGGAUUUGGCUCUCGGCACUCCCAGGCUGGGAGCUGGAUACCUGCCCUGGCAGCAUGGCUCAGACUGCAUGACAGAGAACGUGGCCAGUGGAGACGGCACACUGGAAAUCAGAGUGAAUGUUCUUGAAAGAGGGUCACGGGUCAACAAGGCCCAGCCAAAGGAUGCAGUAGAACCAUUUUCCUUAGAAAUCUUUGGGAGUGAAGUAGGCUUCAGCCACUCCCAUCCCUGCCCUUGCGGCUACCACUACCCCAUUAGUUUAGACAGGGUCGGGCGGGGAGGGGUGUGGAGAAGAAAUGAGCUUGCCUGUGGCCCCCAGGCUCCCUCUGUCCUAGCUCAGGUCUGGGUGCCAUUCUUUACACUCGUGUGCUCGCUCACGCACACAUCACACACCUUGCUGGUCACACAGUCACAGACUCGCCUCUGCUCCUGUGGUCCAGUGGC
RNAcentral lists this long non-coding RNA (1160 nucleotides) under Homo sapiens (human). RNAcentral describes it as "novel transcript". The record is from RNAcentral. Lineage: Eukaryota; Metazoa; Chordata; Mammalia; Primates; Hominidae.